Molecule: non-coding RNA, 679 nt
Organism: Oryzias latipes (Japanese medaka)
Lineage: Eukaryota; Metazoa; Chordata; Actinopteri; Beloniformes; Adrianichthyidae
Source: RefSeq, a predicted model, not a curated record
CGCCUCUCGCUGACUUUAUAGGGAGAAACGGUGACGUAGCACACAGGGGCGGAGCCACCACAUUUUCUGCCACCACGGGAGUCUGGAAGUCCUCACGCGGUCAACAAACUCAGGACCUGAAGACUCUGCAGGGGUGAGGCGUUCAUCCAGACCCGCGUCCCACAUCACACCGGCAGAAGCAUGACAGACGGCUGCAUUCAUGCUGGCUUUCUGCUCUUCAUCUCAACACCAGAUUCUUUUGGUCUGAAGGCUGCACCAAUGAAAAACUGUCCAAAUCUUGAUCUUUCCAGAACUUUGCUGUGUGAAGGUGCAUCUCAGCUCACCAUCCUCACCUUUGCUCCUGCAUAGAAAACUAAGCAGAGCUCCAGGAGCAUGAAAGUUUUCCACCAUCCUCUCAUUUCUGCAGCUUCCUCUGUUAAGGAGGUUUCUCUGAGGCUGAUAUUAAAUGCAAGAAAACCAAAAGAGUUUCAUUUAAAGGAAUGCUUUUAUUGAUAUCCAAACAUUUACAACAAAAAUGCUUUCUAAGUGAUUUAGCACAAUCCUCUGAUCCCUUUGAGCAGUCUGCAGGUGGCGUCUGACUGCAUGAACUGCUUCAUCCCUGUGAGGCUGCUGAGGAGCUGCAGCCUCAUCUUUCAGUUGAAAAACUCUCCGGUCAUCUCCACUCGGUCAAAAAAAAAAA